GAUGAACGCUGGCGGCGUGCCUAAUACAUGCAAGUCGAGCGAACAGACGAGGAUCUUGCUCCUCUGACGUUAGCGGCGGACGGGUGAGUAACACGUGGAUAACCUACCUAUAAGACUGGGAUAACUUCGGGAAACCGGAGCUAAUACCGGAUAAUAUAUUGAACCGCAUGGUUCAAUAGUGAAAGACGGUUUUGCUGGCACUUAUAGAUGGAUCCGCGCCGCAUUAGCUAGUUGGUAAGGUAACGGCUUACCAAGGCAACGAUGCGUAGCCGACCUGAGAGGGUGAUCGGCCACACGGGAACUGAGACACGGUCCAGACUACUACGGGAGGCAGCAGUAGGGAAUCUUCCGCAAUGGGCGAAAGCCUGACGGAGCAACGCCGCGUGAGUGAUGAAGGUCUUCGGAUCGUAAAACUCUGUUAUUAGGGAAGAACAAAUGUGUAAGUAACUAUGCACGUCUUGACGGUACCUAAUCAGAAAGCCACGGCUAACUACGUG
Molecule: ribosomal RNA, 497 nt
Filed under: uncultured bacterium
Lineage: Bacteria
Description: partial 16S ribosomal RNA
Rfam family: Bacterial small subunit ribosomal RNA
Source: RNAcentral